UACGACGGGGGCUAGCGUUGUUCGGCAUUACUGGGCGUAAAGCGCGCGCAGGCGGGUCAUCAAGUCAGGGGUGAAAGCCCAGAGCUCAACUCUGGAACUGCCCUUGAAACUGGUGACCUUGAGUACGGGAGAGGUGAGUGGAAUUCCCAGUGUAGAGGUGAAAUUCGUAGAUAUUCGCAAGAACACCAGUGGCGAAGGCGGCUCACUGGCCCGAUACUGACGCUGAGGUGCGAAAGCGUGGGGAGCAAACAGG
This 253-nucleotide ribosomal RNA is filed under the name uncultured bacterium. Its description in RNAcentral is "partial 16S ribosomal RNA". It matches the Rfam family "Bacterial small subunit ribosomal RNA", at positions 524 to 776 of the family's 1533-position model. The record is from RNAcentral.